RNAcentral lists this ribosomal RNA (433 nucleotides) under uncultured bacterium. RNAcentral's name for it is "partial 16S ribosomal RNA". It matches the Rfam family "Bacterial small subunit ribosomal RNA", at positions 29 to 507 of the family's 1533-position model. The record is from RNAcentral.
AACGAACGCUGGCGGCAUGCCUAACACAUGCAAGUCGAACGAGACCUUCGGGUCUAGUGGCGCACGGGUGCGUAACGCGUGGGAACCUGCCCUUAGGUUCGGAAUAACUCCCCGAAAGGGGUGCUAAUACCGGAUAAUGUCUUCGGACCAAAGAUUUAUCGCCAUUGGAUGGGCCCGCGUUGGAUUAGCUAGUUGGUAGGGUAAAAGCCUACCAAGGCGACGAUCCAUAGCUGGUCUGAGAGGAUGAUCAGCCACACUGGGACUGAGACACGGCCCAGACUCCUACGGGAGGCAGCAGUGGGGAAUAUUGGACAAUGGGCGAAAGCCUGAGCCAGCAAUGCCGCGUGAGUGAUGAAGGCCUUAGGGUUGUAAAGCUCUUUUACCCGGGAUGAUAAUGACAGUACCGGGAGAAUAAGCUCCGGCUAACUCCGUG